Molecule: ribosomal RNA, 493 nt
Filed under: uncultured bacterium
Lineage: Bacteria
Description: partial 16S ribosomal RNA
Rfam family: Bacterial small subunit ribosomal RNA
Source: RNAcentral
AUCGAACGCUGGCGGCAUGCUUUACACAUGCAAGUCGAACGGUAACAGGUUAAGCUGACGAGUGGCGAACGGGUGAGUAAUGCAUCGGAACGUGCCCGAUCGUGGGGGAUAACGCAGCGAAAGCUGCGCUAAUACCGCAUACGAUCUGAGGAUGAAAGCGGGGGACCGUAAGGCCUCGCGCGAUCGGAGCGGCCGAUGUGAGAUUAGGUAGUUGGUGGGGUAAAGGAGCACCAAGCCAACGAUCUGUAGCUGGUCUGAGAGGACGACCAGCCACACUGGGACUGAGACACGGCCCAGACUCCUACGGGAGGCAGCAGUGGGGAAUUUUGGACAAUGGGCGAAAGCCUGAUCCAGCAAUGCCGCGUGCAGGAAGAAGGCCUUCGGGUUGUAAACUGCUUUUGUACGGAGCGAAAAGGCUCUCUCUAAUACAGGGGGCUCAUGACGGUACCGUAAGAAUAAGCACCGGCUAACUACGUGCCAGCAGCCGCGGUAA